GAAGCAACGCCUGACACUCGGCCCUGUGACCGAGGUCUGGGGCGUCGACUAAACUUCGCCCAGACCAAUGGGAGUUCACGGUGAAACUUUGUAAACAACUCUUACACGCUGAGUUAAAGCUCCUCUGCCGUGUUUACUACGAAAAAAUGUGCGACGGUGCUGCACCCGGAGGAGCCAAACAUCCCAAAAAGCAGACGGCCAUCCAGAUGUUGAAAUCAAACACCACUCAAACAGUAUUUAUGAAGACAAGAAAAAUAAUGCAUUGCAAAGCAAAAAGAAGCAGCACCAGGAAGCCUGUUUUGGCCCUGGGUAGGACCUUCAUUCAGGCUCAGUCCAGGUACCCCUGAGUGACGUAAUAGGCUCAGGGACCAGUGGGGAUCUGAAACCAGUCCAAGUUUGAAAUGGAUGGAAUCCAGCCGGCGUUGUACGAUCAGGAGCUGAACACAGAAGAUGUUACACUGAGUGGCAGCUGUGCUCGGCCGCCGCUGUACAGUGCGCGGUUCUUCGGAGGAGUCAACCUCACUGCUCUCCAUCCAUCCACCCCAUUGAACUGCCAGCUCUGGUGUCUGUAAGGCGGGGAUUUACAUUUUCUCAGGACAGGCAGCCCGUGGAGAGAGGCCUGCUGGCAGAUCAAAGGCCCCGGCUGUAAAACGAUCUGAAAGAGUCCGGCAUUAGCAUCCAUCAGGGUACCUUGAAAGCUCCCUGAUCAGCCGAGAGGGAAGCUGAGGGCCCCCCAAAGUGAAAGCCCAGUCUGGAGAGGGGUGAUGGAGGGGCGGGGGGGAGAGGGAGAAAGAGGGAGAGGAGGAGGAGAAGGAGGAGGAGGAAGGGAGGAAAAUUCCCAUAGCAAGCUUCAGAUGUUAUGAUUUCUCUAUUGGAUUUGUCUUCUCCCUCUGUCGUUCUUCCUCUAUUUUUCUAACUUCUUAUUUAUAGCGCUGAGGUUUAGAACACCCCCCCCCCCAUCUGUGCACCAUCUCCACGCAGCUCACCAAGCCCAGCGUUUUACUACUCCACCCUGGUGUCUACACACAGGGUCAUGUCUGGUCUGGUCUGGUAUGGGAAGCGGAGCGAAAGAUGGAGAGGGGAGGAGGAGGGGGGAGGAGAAAGAGAAACCUGUCUCGACUUCAUGUACGGUGACUCUUUUCUUUCGGAAAAAUAAAUAAAUAAAAAUGGGAGAAUGAGAAAUGGCAUCAGUGUGGAGGCCUUGAUAGGUCCCUAACAUGUGCGCUAGGCAUCAACGUGUGACCUGCAUUCCUGGUGUGCUCUUCUCAUUGCAUGAAUCUUAAAAAAAAAAAGAAAGAAAUCUGCAUCUUUCAGGUUGAUUUCAUGUGCUAGAGUUUCCUCCCGAAAUCUGAUUUAUUAAUACUGAGACUUGUCACCUCUCUUUUCAGCCACAGCACGUUGCACACGAGCUUCCAUCAGUUUCACUUUUGGCAAAUGUACAAAGUCAGAGCGUCAAAGUCACAGAGUUUAUGAGGGUGUGAACAUACAGUGUGACUCAUUGUCGGUCCGUCUUAUUUGACAUGAUGUAUAAUAGAAUGAUUAACAUUUCACUGCUGACUUCCUCUCAGCGGCUUUACUGUAGCACAAAGUCUGGUUGUAAAAGGUUCCAUGAAUGAUUGAUCCAUGAAUGAGUCCGAAUUUUAGGGAGGCCGGUAGUUCUGCCUGCGUUUCCCACAGUGGACCGGCCCAAACAUUCACUGGUCCUGGUCCGGUUUGAGUUAUGGUUGGAACAGGUUUCCUGGUGGAUGUGGAGAAAGGAGUUUGCUUCUCUUCAUUUCACGAAGAACAGGUCGUCCGCUUGUUGCCAUAAUGGACCGCUUUGUGAGUGUUAAAGCAGGGGUCUGAUGGAGGUCAGGGACCCCCUUAUGUUCCACAUUAAACUUGGCUUAGUGCUGUUUAUAAAUAUACAUUAUCAUUUUGCAUUCAAUAUUAAACUAUUCAAAUAAUACACAGGUUCACUCAAAGAUAACUGCCUCCAUUUAUCUCUUUACUAAAAUAUGUGUAUUUACAAGAAAUUUGUGGGGGGAAAACUGAAAAAAUAUAUAAAAAACGUCUAAUCAACCGAAGAUUUUUGGACUGCUCUGCAGAAUCUCCCCUGUUGACGUGCGUGCUAAAGCAUUUUAGUAUGAGUUUUAUUAGGGGUGUAACAAUAUAUCCAACAAUACAAUAUUACAAUUAAAAAAACACUGAUCAGCGACAAUGUCUUUGGCCACUGACAGGAGAAGUAAAUAACAUGGACCAUCUCGCGACAGCUCAAUGUUCCGCUGGGAAACACGGGCACACACACAAAAAUGGUUUAGGGAUUACUCAAAAAACACGAAGAACAGCACAAAGUUUUGUGACCUGGCCUCCAUAUUCACUAGAUCCCAAAGUAUCUGUGGGAUGAACCACAGGGGACCCUCCCCUCAACCUACAGGACCCAAAGACGCCCCUCUGCUAAAAUUCUGGACACCCUCUGAGGGUCCAUGUUCUCUGAUGAGUCACAACUGUUUUGGAGGAACAACACAAUAUUAGGAAGGCGGUCAUAAUGUUACAAUUUAAUCUCAGUUUAAUUGUAGGACCGUGAGGAAAGCUACAACAUCAUGUGGUUAUUUCACUACUACAGCUCCAUUCUGCUCUGAUGCAGGCUAACUCCAUUCUUAUCAAGUCCGACCACGGCCUUUAGGUUUCUUUAUGGGGUGAUUUUUCAACAGAUAUUACUCAAAGAGACAAACCCCCGUCCUCUUUUGCCUACAGAGACAGGCUCAGUGGGAGAAUGGCAAAUGAAGUUGAUCGUUUUGACAAACGCUCCAUCUUUGAGUUUUAGAGCUAAUGUGAAACAGCAUUCUGGUUUUCCUGUUUCAAGACGUGACUAAGAGAUGACGAGGACCUGUCAGAGCACUUUGCAAAUACUGCCAAGCUACGAUAAAGGAAUUACUGCGUAUCCAACAUGAGAAGAUGUUGACAAAACUGUAGCGACAACCUAGAGGAGGGUGCUUAAAUCAGACCAUGCCUCGUCACGGCCUGAGAUCUGAAGAGCUAACAAGGUAUAUUUUUCAUGUGCAUCUGUUGUGGCUCUUUAAUUUAACCUAAGAAGCAAAGCAGAAGCACCAGAAAAAGACUGGCGCACAUGAUAUGUUCUAUAAAUUGUAUCAUGGGCCUUUAUCGUGGUUUUAUUGACGCGCGUUCAUCCUAUUAUAAGGCAACAAGUUGCUUUCUAACUUUAACCGUAAUGUUCGUGCAUAAAUUAUCCUAAUCUUUUGCAGAAUCACCCAGUUUUGACAUUUGAACCUGCAUUUUUUUUUAAAAAUAUAUGUCAAAUUAUAAAAAGCGAAAAAAUCAAGAAAUAGAUUAGAGGAUUUUUUAGCCCUCUCAGUGAAAGAAUAAGGCGACCCAUGGAGUUAAACAAGCCUUCAACCAGUCAGUGUGUAGGCACACAUCCAUGUGGCCGCUGCCAAAGUCUUGUGGUGUCAUACGUAUAAAGCACAUCCACAUAAACCCCCACACAGUACACAGUACUUCCCACACAGGAUCACCCAAACACGCACGCUCCCUGGUUGUGUGCCUCAGUGUGCAGUUUGCUGACAUGUGUGGAGCCUCCUGUGUGCAGGGCCAGGGCUGCAUGCCACUGUCUCAGCUCAGUAAUGGAUGUCCCAUUUGUUGCGCACACACACACACACACACGCGCGCACACACACACACACACGGACAGAAAGACGGAUGGACGGACAGACAGACAGACAGACAGUGGCGGGGUUCAGCUUGGCUGUCCUGUCCACCAGAGGAUGAGUUCCUCCUCUGUUUAGGGAAAAGGAUGUGAUCUCACUCUUUAAAAAUCCAACCUAUGUCGCUUGCCACUCAUGACUUAAUCCAGGCUUCUCCUUUGUGCAAAGCGCCCUCCCCUUCCCCUCUUCUCCUCUUACUUUCUCUUGCUCUUUCUGCCUCUUCCUGUAUCUUUUCUGCGUGACUGUCUAUCAGUCUGCUAGCUUAUUUCCUCUCUGUACUGCUGACGCCGAAAAGCUAUGAAAGGAAACGGAGUUUGCGUUUUUUAAGGUAGAUCUUUGAGGCGCGCGCGACACAUGCGUGCAUACUCUAAAAGUGAAAGAGAAAAGCCCGUCACAUAUUUUGAGCACUUUGCAGAAGUUUUGAGUUCUUUUAGUGGUUCACGUUCCAUGUUGACCAGGUGUCCUUCUUUAUGCUGGAACGCGCAGCACUUUUAGUCCCACGCGUUGUUGAGGGUCAACACUGCAGGAAAGAUGCUUUUCUAAAAUCAGUCUUUUAUCCCAGAGCAGAUAUUACGGCGAGCUGUCGUCUGCACACACAUGGGUCAGGCGCGUGUUAACCUGUCACCUUCUUAACCCUUCUCCAUCGGGGAGAUCUGCACGCGACCGUAACCUCAUAAGCUAUGCUAAUUUAUUCAGAAUAUAAUGGAAAUGCAGCUACGACUAGGGUGGCCAUCUCCACAACACCAAAAAGGAGGACACUUUUAGUGAAGCAAGAAAAAUGGCAGCACAGGCCUGCAGGAAUCUAGGUAGUGUACUCCCCACCACAUUCCAUGAUAACAACAGCAUCAUGAUGCAGUGAUUCUGAGAAACGCUAUGCAUUACAAGAUAAUCUGAUCCAUGAUUUAUCAUGAUUUAUAUGUAAUAGAAGAGGAAAAAUCAUUCCUGAGAAUGAAAAAAGGUAUUUGGUUACAGCAUUUGUAUUUAUUCAAAAAAGUGCAGUGCCGUACUGCUGUUGCUAAUAAUUUUUAUUUUAUUAUUAGACCUUUAUUUAGCUAGGUGAGCUCACUGAGAUAGUGAAUCUCUUUUGCAAAAGCGACCUGGCCAUGAGGCAACCAAUUACAAUACAAUUAGAAUCAUUCAUACAUCAUCGUACGUCGUACAAGUAAAAAUCAGCAGGUUUGUUAGGCUCGGAAUGGGUUGAAAGUAGUGACAAACCGCAGUCAUCAAGUUGUUUCUCUUUGAGAAUUGCAACAAAGCUGUCAAAUGGGAUCAAUUUUAAGGCAGUCUGGAAGGACUUCUAUGCAUAGGGAGCAGCGUAGCGAAAUGACCUUUUUCCCAUUUCUGUGAACCCUCAAAGAAACAGUCCAUGUGAGGAAGUCAGAUUAUCGUAGGGUAUAGUCUCCUUGGUUCCUUAUCAAGUCAUUUCCUAGUCAGGACGGGACCACACCAAGGAGAGCUUUAUAAAUAAAAGUCAUCCAAUGUGUGUGUCUCCUGUUGGGCAAUGAUGACCAUCCUGCUCGUUGAUGCAAAGUGCAAUGAUGGGUCAGAUUUGUCAAACCAGUGACAAACCAAUGCACAGUGAUAUACAGUGUCCAGAGAGUGUAAACAGGUGGUGGAAGUGUGCAUAUACAUUAUGUCACCCCAGUCAGUGGGAGAAAGGUUGCCGACACAAGAUAGAUAUCUUCUAGCUGCACAGGUUUAGAGAUUAGGCUUAUAUAUGAGGUCUGACAGACAGGUGUUGAUCGCUAUGGAAACUCAAAUACCCAUCAGGCGAAAUCAUUUCUAUGUUCUUUUGCGUGUUCUUUGGACCACUCAGAAAUGUUUGAGGUCCAUCUUUUCGGCAUGUUAAUAACCUUCUGAUAACGUGAUGCUAGACGCAACCGGCACAUGCAGGUUGUUCACGUUUUCACCCAAUGAUCUAUCGAAAAAUCGUGUGACACCGCUUUUAACUAAUCAUUUUCUUUUGCCAAACUUUCGUCAGACCAGAAGUCUGACGAAGACCAGGACAAUGUGCUGCAUUGUGUUUACAUGCAACUACAAAAAGGAGGACAAAUAAGCGUCUUGAGGCUGCGCUGGAUGCCGGACAGGGCGUUUAAAUUCCAGACUGUCUGGCCUAAAUCUGGACGUACGGCCACCCAAGCUACAACUAGGACUAAGACUAGGAAACCACUUCUAAAUGAGUAAAACUGAUGGAAGUUAAUUCAUGGUAGAGUCCAAACAGCACAGUAGACCUACAUGGAAUCCCAUUCCAGGAGAUGCUAAAGUCGGCAUUCAUUGAAUAUGUUGAAUAAUACCUGUAUGGGUGAAGUAUGUGUAAAUAAGAGAAUGUACGUGUACGUGAAAACAUGGAAACUGAGGACAGGUCAUUUGUUGCACUCUGAUUGGCUGAGGAACACGAGCAGGGUCGUGUUCAGGCAUGGAAGGUAGGGAUGAGACAUGUACCCAGUGGACUAUUGAGAAAUAUUCUACCACUGCCCGAUAGCAUCUGCACCCAAACUUAGUCAGAGCUAGGUGGAAAUUAAGAUGUGAGAUAUUUGCAGGCCUUCCAGCCCCGGCGUCGGUUUAGCACGUACACAACUGACAGAUCGCGAAAGUCUUUGUGAUAUCAGAGAAACAUUUUGGCAAAAUGGAGCUCCCGCUAAAGGAAAAGGUGACAGUCCAAAUGGUAAAUGUGCUGUUGCUAAUUUGCCAAUUUGUGUCCAGUCCAGUCACUGGCCGACCUACAUCUUUAAGGCUGAUGUUAUCACAGUGCUUUUUUCGUAGCGUAUGACUGAGUCAUAUAAGUGUUUGAGUUGGCUGCGUGGCAAAGAACACGUAAGCAACACGUCUAUCUCUAUAUCUAUCUAUCUAUCUAUGUGUCUGGCACUUAUUCUGUCUUACCAUGUUUCCCUUAGCCUUUAUUUUAUUUUGCAUGACUCAGCUGUUUUCUGAUCCUGUUUAUUUAGUGCAUGCAUGAUGAGAUGCAUGCCAAAGUACUGGUUCCUUAAUGGUCGGGUUUAACGGGUUACUGAGCACAGAAUGAAAUUAAGGAUGAAUAUUUGUUCAAUUUCUGCUUUGUUUUGUUUGGCCAAAAGACAUUGUCACGAUACUGUCAUCAAGCAUCGCACAAAGCAAUGGUUACCUGAACAGGGACAUAGUCAGUAGAUUUUGAUUCUUUUCCCCAAAAGGCGUCAAUCACCUUAAAAAACUUUGUGCUGAUAUAAGAUAAACGCCUUUUUUAUGUCAAGUUCAAACAUUUAAGGGAUAUGUCUCGUCAUUUCAGUGGAGAAAGUUGCAUAAAAUGAUCUUACAUUACUGUAUAUAUACAGCAGAACAAGCUUUUUGACAAACUUUUGAUUAUGCGCCGUGCGUGCAUGAAGAUUAAAUGUCAGCUCACCUUUGUAAUACAAUUUCUAUCUGUCUUCAAUAAACUUGUGUUACUUGUUACUAAUUA
Molecule: long non-coding RNA, 7137 nt
Organism: Mugil cephalus (flathead mullet)
Lineage: Eukaryota; Metazoa; Chordata; Actinopteri; Mugiliformes; Mugilidae
Exons: 5
Source: RefSeq, a predicted model, not a curated record